RNAcentral lists this ribosomal RNA (465 nucleotides) under Vreelandella stevensii. Its description in RNAcentral is "partial 16S ribosomal RNA". It matches the Rfam family "Bacterial small subunit ribosomal RNA", at positions 338 to 795 of the family's 1533-position model. The record is from RNAcentral. Lineage: Bacteria; Pseudomonadati; Pseudomonadota; Gammaproteobacteria; Oceanospirillales; Halomonadaceae.
CCUACGGGAGGCAGCAGUGGGGAAUAUUGGACAAUGGGGGGAACCCUGAUCCAGCCAUGCCGCGUGUGUGAAGAAGGCCCUCGGGUUGUAAAGCACUUUCAGUGAGGAAGAACGCCUGGUGGUUAAUACCCAUCAGGAAAGACAUCACUCACAGAAGAAGCACCGGCUAACUCCGUGCCAGCAGCCGCGGUAAUACGGAGGGUGCGAGCGUUAAUCGGAAUUACUGGGCGUAAAGCGCGCGUAGGUGGCUUGAUAAGCCGGUUGUGAAAGCCCCGGGCUCAACCUGGGAACGGCAUCCGGAACUGUCAAGCUAGAGUGCAGGAGAGGAAGGUAGAAUUCCCGGUGUAGCGGUGAAAUGCGUAGAGAUCGGGAGGAAUACCAGUGGCGAAGGCGGCCUUCUGGACUGAUACUGACACUGAGGUGCGAAAGCGUGGGUAGCAAACAGGAUUAGAUACCCCAGUAGUC